RNAcentral lists this ribosomal RNA (326 nucleotides) under uncultured bacterium. RNAcentral's name for it is "bacterial SSU rRNA". It matches the Rfam family "Bacterial small subunit ribosomal RNA", at positions 28 to 334 of the family's 1533-position model. The record is from RNAcentral.
GACGAACGCUGGCGGCGUGGCCUAAUACAUGCAAGUCGAACGAAGCGUCUUAAAGGAAGUUUUCGGGAUGGAAUUUGGGAUGACUGAGUGGCGGACGGGUGAGUAACGCGUGGAUAACCUGCCUCAUACAGGGGGAUAACAGCUAGAAAUGGCUGCUAAUACCGCAUAAGCGCACAGUGCCGCAUGGCAGUGUGUGAAAAACUCCGGUGGUAUGAGAUGAACCCGCGUCUGAUUAGGUAGUUGGUGAGGUAACGGCCCACCAAGCCGACGAUCAGUAGCCGGCCUGAGAGGGUGAACGGCCACAUUGGGACUGAGACACGGCCCAA